RNAcentral lists this ribosomal RNA (460 nucleotides) under uncultured bacterium. RNAcentral describes it as "bacterial SSU rRNA". It matches the Rfam family "Bacterial small subunit ribosomal RNA", at positions 338 to 795 of the family's 1533-position model. The record is from RNAcentral.
CCUACGGGUGGCACCAGUAAGGAAUAUUGGUCAAUGGACGCAAGUCUGAACCAGCCAUGCCGCGUGCAGGAUGACUGCCCUAUGGGUUGUAAACUGCUUUUGUUAGGGAAUAAACCCAUCUACGAGUAGAUGGCUGAAUGUACCUAAAGAAUAAGGAUCGGCUAACUCCGUGCCAGCAGCCGCGGUAAUACGGAGGAUCCGAGCGUUAUCCGGAUUUAUUGGGUUUAAAGGGUGCGUAGGCGGCACUUUAAGUCAGGGGUGAAAGACGGCAGCUUAACUGUCGCAGUGCCUUUGAUACUGAAGUGCUUGAAUGCGGUUGAAGACGGCGGAAUGAGACAAGUAGCGGUGAAAUGCAUAGAUAUGUCUCAGAACACCGAUUGCGAAGGCAGCUGUCUAAGCCGUUAUUGACGCUGAUGCACGAAAGCGUGGGGAUCGAACAGGAUUAGAUACCCUAGUAGUC